Molecule: long non-coding RNA, 524 nt
Organism: Salvia hispanica
Lineage: Eukaryota; Viridiplantae; Streptophyta; Magnoliopsida; Lamiales; Lamiaceae
Source: RefSeq, a predicted model, not a curated record
AUAAUCUCUUGCUGUAUCUGUUGAAGUGUACUUCAAUAUUUCUUCCUCUUCCUCAGAAGAAGCACCAUCAGAUUUGUGGCCGUUCCGUUUCCAAAUUGUUCUCCAACUUCCCAAGAGGCAUGCCUAAGUCUAGAGCUCCGCAUCAUCCACCAAGACACAAAGUUAAGAGGCAAAGGGUGGUUAAGAAGAGACUUCUAUGAGGUAUGUAUCGAAUGUCACACGGUUUGAUAUUUUGUAAUUUAUUCUUAUUCUCUCAUCUAUCCUAUAUUUUAUUAUCUCUUCAUUUAAUUAAUUAAAUAUUGUUUUUUAAAAUUUUUAAAAAAAUGCAUCACUUAAAUUAGGUGGAGAGACUAGAGAUUAAUGAUUUAUUUUGUCUAGCCAUAUCACGGCUACUAGAAGAACUCAUCCCCAUAUUUAUCAAUUCAUUAACUAGAAGAAAAAUUCAAUGAAAUGAUGAGCGAUUCUUUGAAGCAUGAUAUUUUCUUAUUAGAUAGAGUAAUUUAUUCCCAUUGAUCACCAAUAAA